Molecule: ribosomal RNA, 460 nt
Filed under: uncultured bacterium
Lineage: Bacteria
Description: partial 16S ribosomal RNA
Rfam family: Bacterial small subunit ribosomal RNA
Source: RNAcentral
CCUACGGGGGGCAGCAGUGAGGACUAUUGGUCAAUGGGCGCGAGCCUGCACCAGCCAAGUAGCGUGAAGGAUGACUGCCCUACGGGUUGUACACUUCUUUUAUAAAGGAAUACAGUGAGGCACGUGUGCCUUAUUGUAUGUACUUUAUGAAUAAGGAUCGGCUAACUACGUGCCAUAAGCCGCGGUAAUACGGAGGAUCCGAGCGUUAUUCGGAUUUGUUGGGUUUAAAGGGAGAGUAGAUGGGUUGUUAAGACAGUUGUGAAAGUUUGCGGCUCAACCGUAAAAUUGCAAUUGAUACUGGCAGCCGUGAGUACAGUUGAGGUAGGCGGAAUUCGUGGUGUAGCGUUGAAAUGCUUAGAUAGCACGAAGAACUCCGAGUGCGAAGGCAGCCUACUAAACUGCCACUGACAUUGAUGCUCGAAAGUGUGGGUAUCAAACAGGAUUAGAUACCCUAGUAGUC